Long non-coding RNA from Zea mays, 5050 nucleotides. RefSeq lists it as uncharacterized. The record is from RefSeq and is a predicted model, not a curated record. Lineage: Eukaryota; Viridiplantae; Streptophyta; Magnoliopsida; Poales; Poaceae. The transcript is spliced from 7 exons.
UCGACGCUACGUCGUGAUCCCCUCCACCGGCCUGGAUGGCACCCGACAUCUCCACCCCCACGACCAGCAGGCCAGGCGUGGAUCUCGCCCCGACGCCCGACGAUGGCGCCCAUGCUCCGCCCCCAUACCCAGCGGGCAGCCACGGAUCUCGCGGAUCACGCCGGAUCUGCCGCUUCCAAUCUCUGCAUCGCGUGGACGCCUUCCAUGGAGUCUCUGUACGUAUGCCAGCGCCCGUCCCUCACCCCUGAUCUACCACUCCCAAUAUCUCCACCCCCACCGCGACGACAACGCGCAACCCCCGGCCACCGCGCUGCCAGCGCCCGUCCCUCACCCCGCACGCUGUGACCGGACUACCGCGCCUGGCCCCCACUCCAAUGAGAUUGCCGCCCCUCCCGCCCCGCUAGCCAUGCCACCAUAGAUCCAGCUAGGGCGGCGUCAUUGUGUUCAACCUUGUGCGAGAGAAUGCAAAAUCGUCGUCGGACUGAUAUUGACCAGAGGUUUCUCCGCCCAAUUGCAUCAGGUUUCGCUGCCAUUUGCAGCGACUGUGCUCCAGUUCGAUCGUUUGGGGGAAAAGGGAUUGUAUCUGUUGAAUCCUCGGGCUCCAGGGAUGGUUCUCGACAUGGACGGCUACGUAGACCCCUAUGAGGAGCUCAUGCCGAGGAAGACUCCGACAACCCUGACGAGGAUGACUUAGAUGCAGAGAGCAACUACAAGGAUAAGUCGUUCGACCUCCUCAAGUCCGACAAGCACUGGGUGCGCAACCCGGAUGACACCUUCUGUGGCCCCUUCUGCCCCUGCAAGAAGAGCAGGGGUACAAGAGCAAGGACCUCCUCCAGCACGCUCCGACGACAUCGAUGUCUCCAACAAGCAUCGACAUCACGGCUGCAAAUGUGGAGGUUAUGUAAUAUCACCAGUCGAUCAAUGAGGACAAUCAGUUUUAAAGCACAUGUUUGCCAAGGCCUCUCCAUUGUAUGUAUCUCAACUCUAUUGUGCGCAGGCGAGCAAUGGAAUAAAAAAGCCUUACUAUGUAUCUCACCUCUAUUGCUCUGCUUAGCCAAGGCCUCUCCGCUAUAUGUGCCUGGUAUCCCUACCAUUUUUGCCACUUCUACUUGGAGUAAUACUAAUAAAGUCACAUAUUUGAAGCCUACCAGUAUUAUCAUAACAUGGUUGUCUACUUGUGUAUUACAACCACAAUAAUUAACCAUAUGGGUCGAUAAUGAGAUAUUCUUUUUUGAAACGAUAUAAUGAGAUAUUCUUAUCAGGGACUCUUGGAGUCAGGCAUUUGCCAUACUAAGAGUUUCGAAUUUGCCAAAAAGGUUUAAUUUGGUACAGAUAACCCCAUUGCUCCCGUUGAGUUAAUGACAUAGAAACUAAAAUUAGUUUGAAAAUCAUGUACUACCAACACAAAAGAAAUGAGAAAAAAUAAAAAAAGAAGUGAACAAUUGGGUUAUCUGUCAAACUCAGAAGUUUUUUUUAUCAAACAACACAAAUUGAGUGUUCCAUAAAAAAUGUUUUCUCUGGUUUCAACUAUCCACUUAUCCAGCUUGUAUUGAGUGUGCUUGCAACUCGAAUUCCUUUCGAUUCAGUUCCUGCGCGCCUGGCCACCGGGAACUUUAGUUGUUCAUAUGAUCCAAUUCAAGUAUUUGUAGUUAUAUUGGUUAUGUUGAUCGCAUAGUGCUGAGGCUAUUUACGAUCGUUUAGUGUGUUGAAGCUCUUAAAUUUACGGUUCGGUGUAGAAUCUCAAUUAAAUCGUUUUCUGUAAUGUUCUGCUUGGAAUAUCAAAAGCUCAUUUUUUCUAUGUUGUGAAUUAGGGUUUGCUUUGAAAGGUUUGAGUGGAUCUUUGUUGAUGGUGGUUGUGGUUUCUUGGUUGGAUGGAAUGUUACCCAGUUCAAGUGUUUUGCAUCGUAAUUUGGUUUUAUUGCCUUAAGAUUCUUCUAGUGUUUCCCUAUUUGGUCAGUACACGGAUGUGUUACUCAUUUUUUCCCAUCAUCGCAAAAUAGAUGUUUGUCUUUCACUAUGAUUGCUUACCUUCCUAAAGUUAUCUAAUAAUUUUUCCUUGUGCUAUUAGCAUUUAAAAUUGCAUUUCAUUGUGCUUAAGGAAAGGUUUGCAUUUGGAAGAAUGGGAUUUGAUUGGUGAUUUGUGGAUCGUAUGACUGGUGAUUGGAGAAGCUAGAGUGCAACGACAAGGAGACAACGGAGAAUAAGUAUUUCACCCCAAUCAAAGGUGAAGACUAGCAUUCUCAUGAAACACUGAUAGACACACAGGUUUUCUUGCCACGGCAGAUCAUAUGGAUCAAACUCCAAAAAUUCAUGGUGGAGACUCCGAUGAUGAACAUGAUUGCUGGUGGAGCAGCUAUAAGGCCUUUUGUUAAUGACAAGCUAUUUUAUUUAGUUUCUGGAGUGUUAAAUCAUGGUUACCGGCAAGGUCUAUUAUUCUGGAGUGUUUUUUUAUCAAGAGGAAAUAUUGAUCCAAGUGGAGAAAUCAUGGUUUUGCAUAGAUUCUGCCCGGUAAAGUCUUGACCUUGUUGUGUUAUAUCAGACCGAAUCUCACCAAUAUCCACACCAGAUCUAAAUGGGACAUUUGAAAAUUGUCGUGCCCCCUAAAAAAAAGGAAAAUCCAUGGUCUGUGCUUCAGUGGAAACUUCAUCUAUUUGAGCUUGAAGAGGUGCUAACGACUGACCCUCUGACCAAGUAUGUGUUUUAUCAGGACGAGAGCAAGAGUUGGCGAGUCCAAGCAGUCGUAGUUGCUCCUGAUAGGUUCAAUAGCUGGAAGGCUCUGCUAGAAAAGUGGAGGGGCAUGAGAGACGAAAGACUUUUAGCAAAAACUGACUUCUAGCAUUUUGUGUUUGUUCAUAUCAGUGGCUUCACUUUGGGCAACAAGACCUAUCAGGGAGCAUUGGAAAUGGCAAGAGCUGCUCUGAAAUUCUGAUUCAACCACCACCUAUAAGUAACAGACUUACCCAUGUUGCCAUAGUCUCAAUAGAAGCACAUGAUGCAAUUGCGACUUUGGUCCAUGGUAUCAUUGACUUGUCGUAGCUGAAAUUGAUUCUUACAUUUGAUUUAUAUCAUCCUUAUCUUGCAGAAUUGGUCAUUUGAUACUAUUUUCUUGGAUCUGUUAAUGCAUAGAAUGUGAUAAUUUAGUAUUAGAAAAGAAAAUUGAUGGAACUUAUUAGGCCAUCAGCCCUGCAUAUUUCUUUAGCACAUGACACCCUUUCCCCCUAACGCAUGUGGUGCAGGUCAAGCUGGACUUCCCGCACGAGGCUCGUGCUGACGUGGGUGUACAACUAGCUAUAAAAGAGAGUUAAAUUUCUUUUCAACAUAACCUUUUUCGGUCUUUUGGCUAAAAUCAAGUGUAUUACCUUUUUUUAUUAGUUUAAUAUCCAACGUGAACAAUGUGUCCACUUUGAUAUUAUUUUUUUGUGGAAGGGAACACCAUAGAUGCGCGCUACUGGACCCACAUGUAUCACCUAACCGUUGCGCUGCUGGUAGGAUCUGACCGCUACCCUAACACAUUACAAGCUUCAGUUUACAAUCUUUAAUUCAGCUUACAAGCUUCAAUUUAGAUUCAGGUUACAAUCUCUAAUGUACAAUCUUCGGUUUACAAGCUUCACUUUACAAUCUUUAAAAUAGUCAUUAUGCACAACACCAUUUUUUUCACAUACUAAUCCUACAGUACAAAGGUGCUUCCCUGAAUCUUUGCAAUAAAUUGUCCAUACUUCAAAAUUUAGAUGUACGAAUAUUACUUGCCAUGUGCUAUCUCAAAUUAGAGGUCGAUAGCAUUUUUGCAGGCCAUUUCAGUAUGACAGGAUACACAUUGAUGUGAGGGGAUCACCUGCUCCCUCCGUUUCACAUAGCAUUUUUUAGCUGUUGCCACUGUGUAUGUUACAGUCGAAGGCCAUCUCUGUAUGACAAGUCGUCAUAUGAAUUAUUGCUUUAAACUAAAACAACAUGCAUAGAUUGAAUUAUGCUUUGCAUUCUACUAUGUAAAGAUUUAAUUGCUGCGAAAAUUUUUAUUGUUACAAGUAUUCUUCCUUAAGCUGCUAUUUUAUUGUAUAAAAUGGACUAUUUUGUGCUAAUUUUUAGAUUGAUUUAGCUUUUUUGUAUUUAAGUACUUUGUACAUCUUCAUGUUGAACUAAUGCUUGAACUGCAUUUGAUAAUAGUACUCAGAAUUGAUCUAUUUCUUCCAGUGACUCAAGGAUGUGGAUGUCUUACUAGAUGUUACUUGUUCUUAUGAAUGCGACCUUUCAUUUGACUUAGUUUGUAAUUCUAUUCGUAGGUUAUGCAUGUUGCUUUUGGAGUGCUGUUACAUGCCAGAAAGCAGGCAGAGGUUUGCCACUGUCAUGUGCCUAAUACUCAUAUAUGGCCUUGUGUCUAAAGAGAACUCAUCAUUUUCUACAAAAUUGCUAUUUGGUUUUAGUUACAUUGAUAAGUUUUGUGUGCAUUAACAUGUGUAUAUUUUUCUUGAUGACAUCUGACAUUUUCACGCGGUGCUUAAUAAAUAAGUCAUUGAAGGGUAUUCUUAUCUAGGAUGUUUGUUCUGUUGUCAAAAAACUUAACUUUUAUGUGUGAAAAUGUAUAUUUCAAAUUUUUCAUAGACAUCCACAUGUGAUUAGCACCAAGUAAUGUUUUCUUAUUAAUGAUAUUUCUGUCCUGUUUACAUGCACCGUCACCAGUUUAUUUGGUGAAAUGUUUGAAGAUAUAAUCUUUCAAUUUAAACGAUAUAUGGAUGUCUAUCAGUUGUUUAAGGAGAUCACACAGCUUUUGACAUUGGAGAACUUUAGGAAAAAUCAGCAGCUUUCUAAGUAUGGUGUGCAAGAGCAAUAAUGCUUGUUGAGCCGAAGAAGCUGAUUGAAGCUAAUCCCUUGUUGCGUGACAAGCUACAAUUUCCCAACUAUGAAGAAUUAUAGGUGGGUUUGGAUUGUUGAAAUGAACUACUAUAGGGAUAUUGACAUGAAACAAAUAGCAAGUGACCGAUGCAAGAUAUUUACGUACUCUCAAUUGUGUAUUUAGGUAUUAAAAAGUAGUUAUCUUAAAUAUUUGUGAACUCAA